This 564-nucleotide ribosomal RNA is filed under the name Rotylenchus robustus. RNAcentral's name for it is "eukaryotic LSU rRNA". It matches the Rfam family "Eukaryotic large subunit ribosomal RNA", at positions 420 to 813 of the family's 3401-position model. The record is from RNAcentral. Lineage: Eukaryota; Metazoa; Nematoda; Chromadorea; Rhabditida; Hoplolaimidae.
CGGACAGAGCUGGCGUAUCUGGCCUGUAUUCAGCCGUGCGUCCGUUGGCGUCAGGGAUGCCGCUCUCCAGAUUGGGACGGUGGCCUGUCUGCUGGCGGAUGUGUGGUGCAUUUGCAGGUGGAGUGCGCUGAGGCACUCGGGUCAGCGGCAUGAGCUCAGUGUUGAGGCCAGCCCCUCACGGGGUCUGGUACCCGCAUUGUGGGGAGUGCUGUUUGUCCUGGGUGUGUGGAGGGCAAUGGUUUCGGGUUCGUGUGGGUGCCGAGCUGGCAGUCGGUGGCGGUCGCGUGCGACACGUGCCAGCGGUCAGUUCGGUCCUGCUCGAGCUCUCAUCUGCUCGUCCUCGGUGUAAAAGCCGGUCAUCUGUCCGACCCGUCUUGAAACACGGACCAAGGAGUUUAGCGUGUGCGCGAGUCAUUGGGCGUUGAAAACCCAAAGGCGCAAUGAAAGUGAAGGUCUCCCUUGCGGAGCUGAUGUGUGAUCCUGGGCACUGCGGUGCACACCGGGCGCAACAUAGUCCCGUCCCGAUCGCUUGCGAUGGGGCGGAGACAGAGCGUACGCGCUGAG